This is a small nucleolar RNA of Oryctolagus cuniculus (rabbit), 215 nucleotides long. Its record names the gene U3. It matches the Rfam family "Small nucleolar RNA U3". Rfam says of the family: Small nucleolar RNAs (snoRNAs) are involved in the processing and modification of rRNA in the nucleolus. There are two main classes of snoRNAs: the box C/D class, and the box H/ACA class. U3 snoRNA is a member of the box C/D class. NCBI's taxonomy places the organism in Eukaryota, Metazoa, Chordata, Mammalia, Lagomorpha, Leporidae. The record is from Ensembl.
AAGACUAUACUUUCAGGGAUCAUUUCUAUAGUUCGCUACUAGAGAAGUUUCUCUGAACGUGUAGAGCACCGGAAACCACGAGGAGGAGGCGCAGCGUCGUCCCCUGAGCGUGAAGCCGGCUCUUGGUGCCGCCUCGCUGCGGCCGCCAUUUGCCAUUGAUGAUCGUUCUCGUCUCCCUCCGGGGAGCGAGAGGGGGAGGACGCAGUCUGAGUGGU